This is a long non-coding RNA of Daucus carota subsp. sativus, 1481 nucleotides long. RefSeq lists it as uncharacterized. The record is from RefSeq and is a predicted model, not a curated record. The transcript is spliced from 3 exons. Lineage: Eukaryota; Viridiplantae; Streptophyta; Magnoliopsida; Apiales; Apiaceae.
CGAUUCAGAGUUUUCAAGAGCGCAAUUAGGGUUCUUAAACCAAUUAGGAAUUUUCUUAAUUGAAGAUUUAUACCAGGGUUUAAGGUAUGAAAUUCUUAGUGAUAUUGCUUUACAUACUCUAUUUAAUCUUUUACUCGUUAAUCGUAUGUAUAAUCAUGUCUAAUCUUGCCGAUAGAUUCUAAUGUAACUUUACAUUUUCAUCACGCGGGUGAAUUCGCAUUCACGAAUGAGGUUAAAUACUACAAAAGAGGUAAGGUUGAACAUGUUUAUAAUCAAAGGUUAGAUGUAUUGUCAAUGCCGAUGUUUGAUGAUUAUGUGCGGACUGAACUUGAAUACGAUGAUUCUAAGAUAUAUUGGCAUAAAUCUGGUUGUCUUUUUAAUGAGGUUAAUUGCAAAUCAUUAUAGGAUGCUAAGAGUUUAAUGGAAAUGUGUGCUUAUGGUCUUAGUGCUGGUAGGUUGUCUGAGUUUAUUUUAACAAGUUUAAUACUUAUUCAUGCGUAUUGAAUCUGAGUUUGUUUUAUGAUUUUUGACAAGGAUUAAAACAUGCAAUUGAUCAUUUACUACCAAGAGCAGAGCAUAGGUGUUGUGCAAGGCAUAUCUAUGCUAAUUGGAGAAAAAACCAUCCAAGCACAGCUCUUAAAAACUUCUUCUGGAUGGCUGCCAAAUCAAUAACAGUUGAGGAGUUCAACUUGCAUAUGGAUCAAAUUAAAGGUUACCCAAAUAUACUUCCUCCAAAGGCAAGAAGGAUGCCUGGCAGGCCUAAGAAAAACAGGAGGAAAGAGCAAGUUUAACAGGGAGCUGGCCACAAGUUAAGUAAGAAAACAGUGCUCCUUAGAUGUAGCUAGUGCUUAAAGGCUGGACAUAAUAAAGCAACCUGCAAAGCUACUGCAGAGGAAAUAACAGAGAUACAGAGGUCUGCAAUGGAUGCAAAGAAAGCUCAAAGUGAGGCAGCAAGGGCAAAAACAACAAUAAAUAGGAGCAAAAAGGCAACAAGUCAAGAAAAAGAAAGCUGCAACUUAGCCACAAACUGCAGCUCCAGGAGAACCACAAAUCAAGAGAAAGAGAGGCAGAUCAGCAAAAAACUAAAAAAUCUGAAGUCUUGCCUCCACCACCUUCAUUGCCUCCUCCUAGUGUUGGUGUUUAUAUUUGUCAAGACGAAGUACCUAACAACAAUUGGCCUAACAUUUAGAGUCUCACGCUCACAACCAAGUGCCCAAAAUCCAAAAAUCAAUGCCAAUCAACACUGUGCAAGCCAGCCAUGAAAUCAGCCUUGAAAUCAAGUCAUGGCGAGAUUUUUGAAGUACUUUUGAAUGUAUUAAAAACAUAUUUCCUCUUCAAGGUCAUCUAAGCACUUUUGAAUUUUAUUUUACUCUUUAGAUCAAGUAUUUUGGCAUGUAACUUGAAAACAGAUUGUGAUAUUUUCAUAUUAAGUAUUUUGGAUCUUUUGUAAUCGAUGAAAGUUUGGUGUAGAUUUCUUACAG